Molecule: long non-coding RNA, 580 nt
Organism: Pipra filicauda (Wire-tailed manakin)
Lineage: Eukaryota; Metazoa; Chordata; Aves; Passeriformes; Pipridae
Exons: 5
Source: RefSeq, a predicted model, not a curated record
AGCCCCCCGGGUGCCCCAGAGCCCCCCGGGUACCCCAGAGCCCCCCGGGUGCCCCAGAGCCCCCCGGGCCCUGUUCCAGCUCGGGCUGUCCGGGGUGAGCCCGGCCGGGCUCGGCCGCCUGGAGCUCGGUUCCCUCAGAGCCCCUGCUCGCCUGGACCUGCCGCGGAGCCGCCUCAGGUUUUAUCUGUGCUCUGAAACACUCCUGAAACACCCUGCUGUGUCUUGGAUAGCCUAAUGUUAGAUAUCUCAGAUACUGCAGAUACUGGUUUCUUAAGAAGCUGUUAAAACUGCUGGGAUGACGAAUUAAAGUGUUCUGUAUCUGUUAUAAGAAAACAGUGGAGAGAACCUGAUGCUAAUGAAAGGCUGAUUUCCCAGCCCUGGGGACUCGAGCUGUGCUUCCCCAGUGAACAGCUCUGGAUUUGUGCUCACCAGCACUCCUGAGCCCCCCUGUGCUGGCUGCAGCUCCAGCUGCUCCCAUCUGUGCGUGGAUCCUGCUCUGGGCGGUGCUGCUGCUCCUGAGACAGCAGAUUUUAGUGUAAAUAAAUUCACGUGAGAAGUACACAAGAGAGAAGGACUUGGA